AUACGUAGGGCGCGAGCGUUGUCCGGAAUUAUUGGGCGUAAAGGGCUUGUAGGCGGUUUGUCGCGUCUGCCGUGAAAUUCCCUGGCUUAACUGGGGGCGUGCGGUGGGUACGGGCAGGCUUGAGUGCGGUAGGGGAGACUGGAAUUCCUGGUGUAGCGGUGGAAUGCGCAGAUAUCAGGAGGAACACCGGUGGCGAAGGCGGGUCUCUGGGCCGUUACUGACGCUGAGGAGCGAAAGCAUGGGGAGCGAACAGGAUUAGAUACCCUGGUAGUCCAUGCUGUAAACGUUGGGCACUAGGUGUGGGGACCGUCCUUGGUUUCUGCGCCGUAGCUAACGCUUUAAGUGCCCCGCCUGGGGAGUACGGCCGCAAGGCUAAA
RNAcentral lists this ribosomal RNA (377 nucleotides) under uncultured bacterium. Its description in RNAcentral is "bacterial SSU rRNA". It matches the Rfam family "Bacterial small subunit ribosomal RNA", at positions 523 to 898 of the family's 1533-position model. The record is from RNAcentral.